AGGAACUUAGGAUCAACUAAACCAGGGGCCUUCAAAGCCCAAAACAGGGGCGAAACCCCCMUARUCCMUG
Molecule: transfer RNA, 70 nt
Filed under: Enyalioides touzeti
Lineage: Eukaryota; Metazoa; Chordata; Lepidosauria; Squamata; Hoplocercidae
Description: tRNA-Trp
Source: RNAcentral